AACGCGAAGAACCUUACCUGACCUUGACAUCCCUCUGACCGUCCCGUAAUGGGGGCUUUCCUUCGGGACAGAGGAGACAGGUGGUGCAUGGUUGUCGUCAGCUCGUGUCGUGAGAUGUUGGGUUAAGUCCCGCAACGAGCGCAACCCUUAUCCUUAGUAGCCAGCAGGUUAAGCUGGGCACUCUAGGGAGACUGCCGGGGAUAACCCGGAGGAAGGUGGGGAUGACGUCAAAUCAUCAUGCCCCUUAUGGCCAGGGCUACACACGUGCUACAAUGGCGUAAACAAAGGGAGGCAAGCUCGUGAGAGUAAGCAAAUCCCAAAAAUAACGUCUCAGUUCGGAUUGUAGUCUGCAACUCGACUACAUGAAGCUGGAAUCGCUAGUAAUCGCGAAUCAGAAUGUCGCGGUGAAUACGUUCCCGGGCCUUGUACACACCGGCUAC
RNAcentral lists this ribosomal RNA (440 nucleotides) under uncultured bacterium. RNAcentral's name for it is "bacterial SSU rRNA". It matches the Rfam family "Bacterial small subunit ribosomal RNA", at positions 958 to 1397 of the family's 1533-position model. The record is from RNAcentral.